AGGACUAACGCUGGCGGCGUGCCUAACACAUGCAAGUCGAACGAAGUAGCAAUACUUAGUGGCAGACGGGUGAGUAACACGUGGUCAACCUACCGCUUUGUGGGGGAUAACUAGCCGAAAGGUUAGCUAAUACCGCAUACGUCGCAGGCCGGCAUCGGUCGACGAUAAAAGGAGCAAUCCGCAAGGUGACGGGACCGCGUCCCAUUAGCUAGUUGGUGAGGUAAUGGCCCACCAAGGCUCCGAUGGGUAGCUGGUUUGAGAGAGCGACCAGCCACACUGGGACUGAGAUACGGCCCAGACUCCUACGGGAGGCAGCAGUGAGGAAUUUUCCGCAAUGGGCGAAAGCCUGACGGAGCGACGCCGCGUGUGGGAAGAAGGCCCUCGGGUCGUAAACCACUGUCGAAGGGGAAGAUAUUGACGGUACCCUUGGAGGAAGCCCCGGCUAACUACGCGCCAGCAGCCGC
Molecule: ribosomal RNA, 464 nt
Filed under: uncultured bacterium
Lineage: Bacteria
Description: SSU rRNA
Rfam family: Bacterial small subunit ribosomal RNA
Source: RNAcentral